This 70-nucleotide transfer RNA is filed under the name human gut metagenome. It matches the Rfam family "tRNA". Rfam says of the family: Transfer RNA (tRNA) molecules are approximately 80 nucleotides in length. Their secondary structure includes four short double-helical elements and three loops (D, anti-codon, and T loops). Further hydrogen bonds mediate the characteristic L-shaped molecular structure. tRNAs have two regions of fundamental functional importance: the anti-codon, which is responsible for specific mRNA codon recognition, and the 3' end, to which the tRNAs corresponding amino acid is attached (by aminoacyl-tRNA synthetases). tRNAs cope with the degeneracy of the genetic code in two manners: having more than one tRNA (with a specific anti-codon) for a particular amino acid; and 'wobble' base-pairing, i.e. permitting non-standard base-pairing at the 3rd anti-codon position. The record is from RNAcentral.
CGGAAGUAGCUCAGUUGGUAGAGCAUAGGCUUCCCAAGCCUAGGGUCGCGGGUUCGAGCCCCGUUUUCCG